CAGUCGCCACGGUAAUACAGAGGGUGCGAGCGUUAAUCGGAUUUACUGGGCGUAAAGCGUGCGUAGGCGGCUUUUUAAGUCGGAUGUGAAAUCCCUGAGCUUAACUUAGGAAUUGCAUUCGAUACUGGGAAGCUAGAGUAUGGGAGAGGAUGGUAGAAUUCCAGGUGUAGCGGUUAAAUGCGUAGAGAUCUGGAGGAAUACCGAUGGCGAAGGCAGCCAUCUGGCCUAAUACUGACGCUGAGGUACGAAAGCAUGGGGAGCAAACAGGAUUAGAUACCCCCGUAGUCCCUGUCUCUUAUAC
RNAcentral lists this ribosomal RNA (301 nucleotides) under uncultured bacterium. RNAcentral's name for it is "partial 16S ribosomal RNA". It matches the Rfam family "Bacterial small subunit ribosomal RNA", at positions 509 to 807 of the family's 1533-position model. The record is from RNAcentral.